CGCGCUACACUGACGGAGCCAGCGAGUCUAACCUUGGCCGAGAGGUCUUGGUAAUCUUGUGAAACUCCGUCGUGCUGGGGAUAGAGCAUUGUAAUUAUUGCUCUUCAACGAGGAAUUCCUAGUAAGCGCAAGUCAUCAGCUUGCGUUGAUUACGUCCCUGCCCUUUGUACACACCGCCCGUCGCUAGUACCGAUUGAAUGGCUUAGUGAGGCCUC
RNAcentral lists this ribosomal RNA (215 nucleotides) under Salmonella enterica. RNAcentral's name for it is "partial 16S ribosomal RNA". It matches the Rfam family "Eukaryotic small subunit ribosomal RNA", at positions 1494 to 1710 of the family's 1831-position model. Lineage: Bacteria; Pseudomonadati; Pseudomonadota; Gammaproteobacteria; Enterobacterales; Enterobacteriaceae. The record is from RNAcentral.